AGGCAUUUAAGAGUGGUUUUCUACAGGGGUAGACGUUUUCUUAGUGUAGACGGAUGUUUUCUAAAAGAGAAUAUGACAAUAGUUGUAUAUACCCAAUUAUAUAUGCAAUAAUUGAGGAAGAGAAAACUAGUUCGUGGCUAUGGUUUUUGAUGAUGAUGUCUGAAAUUUCGAAUUAUUUCUUUCAAAUAUAAAUUUUAAAUGUGUCUUAU
This 209-nucleotide long non-coding RNA is filed under the name Olea europaea (common olive). RNAcentral's name for it is "long non-coding RNA (OEUR_LNC009567)". Lineage: Eukaryota; Viridiplantae; Streptophyta; Magnoliopsida; Lamiales; Oleaceae. The record is from RNAcentral.